This 253-nucleotide ribosomal RNA is filed under the name uncultured bacterium. RNAcentral's name for it is "partial 16S ribosomal RNA". It matches the Rfam family "Bacterial small subunit ribosomal RNA", at positions 524 to 776 of the family's 1533-position model. The record is from RNAcentral.
UACGUAGGGUGCGAGCGUUGUCCGGAAUUACUGGGUGUAAAGGGUUCGUAGGCGGUGCGGCAAGUUGGGAGUGAAAUCUCUGGGCUUAACCCAGAGGCUGCUCUCAAAACUGCUGUGCUUGAGUGUGAGAGAGGCUCGUGGAAUUGCAGGUGUAGCGGUGAAAUGCGUAGAUAUCUGCAGGAACACCCGUGGCGAAAGCGGCGAGCUGGAUCACUACUGACGCUGAGGAACGAAAGCUAGGGGAGCAAACGGG